This 1026-nucleotide long non-coding RNA is filed under the name Ananas comosus (pineapple). RNAcentral's name for it is "long non-coding RNA (ACOM_LNC022296)". Lineage: Eukaryota; Viridiplantae; Streptophyta; Magnoliopsida; Poales; Bromeliaceae. The record is from RNAcentral.
AGUGGAGACCUGAUUUUUCACAGUAUGGCCAGAAACGGAUCACUUAUAUGGCUGCUUGGUACAGUUUAAGCCUUGGUUGGAAUACACAUAUAUCUGACAGUGCUAAGUAAGUGGUAUAAGAAAAGGCUCUACCCAUAACUUUACCGAGGUGCAUCUAUAGUGGCGCAGGUCACACCCAUAUAUCUAGUAGUCAUAGGACCACUUUUAUAGUGGAGACCUGAUACUAAAGUAUUUCAAAACUGAAUUUCAGAAUUUUUCAGCAUCAUUCAGCUAUCAAACAAGUAGUCUAAAAAUUAACAGCUGAAUAAAAUAUAGGGCUUAACAAAAUAUAUGAACAAAUGCUCUAUGCUUCCGGUAGUAUAGUAGCACAAUUUAUACUCUGUAAGGAUAAAAAAGUCAUUCGCUUAGGUAUCGUUUGGUUCGGGGAUAAGCAAAAGGUGGCUAUUCUAGGUAUAGGUAUAAAUUGAGGUAUAAGCGGUGAUUAAAUCAAUUUUGUGUUUGGAUGAAAAUUGGGUUAUUCUUGAGAAUAAAAAAGAUAGCGUUUGGUUAAAUAAGAUGGAAUAAAAAGGAUAGUAGUUUUUUAUAAAUAAAAAUAAUAAUAUUACCCUCUUAUUAUAUUUUAAUUUAAAUUUAUAAAAUUUUAUAAUUAUAUUUUUUAAAAUUUAAAAUAUUAACGUUGAAAUUUAAAAUUUUGAAAUUUAAAAUCUCAAAUUUUAAAUUAAAAAUUUUAUAAUUUAGAUUUCAAAUUUUAACUUUAAGAUCAAAUUUAAAUUUGAAAAAUAUAAAAUAUUAAAAUUUUGCUUUAAAAAAAUUUAAAAUACCAAAUUUUAAAUUUUAAAAUUUUAAUUUAUAAACUUAUAAUUAAUAAAUUAUAAAGUAUAAAUUAUAAAUUAUAAAUUAUAAAUUAUAAAUUAUAAAUUUUAAAUUUUAAAUUUAUAUAUUAUAAAUUAUAAAUUUUAAAAUUUUAAAUUAUAAAUUAAAAAAUUUAAAAAUUAAAAUUAUAAAUUUUUAUAAAAUUAUAGGUUN